AUUGAACGCUGGCGGCAGGCCUAACACAUGCAAGUCGAGCGGAUGAAGGGAGCUUGCUCCUGGAUUCAGCGGCGGACGGGUGAGUAAUGCCUAGGAAUCUGCCUGGUAGUGGGGGAUAACGUCCGGAAACGGGCGCUAAUACCGCAUACGUCCUGAGGGAGAAAGUGGGGGUUCUUCGGACCUCACGCUAUCAGAUGUGCCUAGGUCGGAUUAGCUAGUUGUUGGGGUAAAGGCCUACCAAGGCGACGAUCCGUAACUGGUCUGAGAGGAUGAUCAGUCACACUGGAACUGAGACACGGUCCAGACUCCUACGGGAGGCAGCAGUGGGGAAUAUUGGACAAUGGGCGAAAGCCUGAUCCAGCCAUGCCGCGUGUGUGAAGAAGGUCUUCGGAUUGUAAAGCACUUUAAGUUGGGAGGAAGGGCAGUAAGUUAAUACCUUGCUGUUUUGACGUUACCAACAGAAUAAGCACCGGCUAACUUCGUG
RNAcentral lists this ribosomal RNA (484 nucleotides) under uncultured bacterium. RNAcentral's name for it is "partial 16S ribosomal RNA". It matches the Rfam family "Bacterial small subunit ribosomal RNA", at positions 30 to 507 of the family's 1533-position model. The record is from RNAcentral.